AAGGGAGACCUAAUUCAGGUAGGAGACGAAAAAAAAGUAGUCCCUACCAAGAAUCAAUCCCAAAAGGUCGGAGCGAGGCAAAAUUGGCUUUCAAACUAGGUUCUGGGUUCACACAAGACCUGAAUCAGGAACAAGGGCUAUUAGCUCAGGUGGUUAGAGCGCACCCCUGAUAAGGGUGAGGUCCCUGGUUCGAGUCCAGGAUGGCCCACCUGUACAGGUGGCAAAAAGAAAGAAAAGAAGCGAGGAAUCAGCACCUUAUCUUACUUAUAUAGUAAGAGAGAAUGCUGGCUCUGAGUAAAGAGUCCAGAGGAACCUUGAAAACUGCAUAGAGCUAGGUGAAAAAGCCAAAAAAGAAGACCGCAA
Molecule: transfer RNA, 363 nt
Filed under: Microcystis sp. NG10
Lineage: Bacteria; Bacillati; Cyanobacteriota; Cyanophyceae; Chroococcales; Microcystaceae
Description: 16S-23S ribosomal RNA intergenic spacer
Rfam family: tRNA (bases 135-208)
Source: RNAcentral